RNAcentral lists this ribosomal RNA (585 nucleotides) under uncultured bacterium. RNAcentral describes it as "bacterial SSU rRNA". It matches the Rfam family "Bacterial small subunit ribosomal RNA", at positions 1 to 586 of the family's 1533-position model. The record is from RNAcentral.
AGGAGAGUUUGAUCAUGGCUCAGAUUGAACGCUGGCGGCAGGCCUAACACAUGCAAGUCGAACGGUAGCAGGAUGUGCUUGCACAUCGCUGACGAGUGGCGGACGGGUGAGUAAUGCUUGGGAACUUGCCUUUGUGAGGGGGAUAACAGUUGGAAACGACUGCUAAUACCGCAUAAUGUCUACGGACCAAACGGGGCUUUUAGCUCCGGCGCAAAGAGAGGCCCAAGUGAGAUUAGCUAGUUGGUGAGGUAAAGGCUCACCAAGGCGACGAUCUCUAGCUGUUCUGAGAGGAAGAUCAGCCACACUGGGACUGAGACACGGCCCAGACUCCUACGGGAGGCAGCAGUGGGGAAUAUUGCACAAUGGGGGAAACCCUGAUGCAGCCAUGCCGCGUGUGUGAAGAAGGCCUUCGGGUUGUAAAGCACUUUCAGUUGUGAGGAAAGGUUGGUAGUUAAUACCUGCCAGCUGUGACGUUAACAACAGAAGAAGCACCGGCUAACUCCGUGCCAGCAGCCGCGGUAAUACGGAGGGUGCGAGCGUUAAUCGGAAUUACUGGGCGUAAAGCGCACGCAGGCGGUUUGUUAA